AUUGAACGCUGGCGGCAGGCUUAACACAUGCAAGUCGAGCGGGGGAAGGUAGCUUGCUACUGGACCUAGCGGCGGACGGGUGAGUAAUGCUUAGGAAUCUGCCUAUUAGUGGGGGACAACAUCUCGAAAGGGACGCUAAUACCGCAUACGUCCUACGGGAGAAAGCAGGGGAUCUUCGGACCUUGCGCUAAUAGAUGAGCCUAAGUCGGAUUAGCUAGUUGGUGGGGUAAAGGCCUACCAAGGCGACGAUCUGUAGCGGGUCUGAGAGGAUGAUGCGCCACACUGGGACUGGGACACGGCCCAGACUCCUACGGGAGGCAGCAGUGGGGAAUAUUGGACCAUGGGGGGAACCCUGAUCAAGCCAUGCCGCGUGUGUGAAGAAGGCCUUAUGGUUGUAAAGCACUUUAAGCGAGGAGGAGGCUACUCUAGUUAAUACCUAGGGAUAGUGGACGUUACUCGCAGAAUAAGCACCGGCUAACUCUGUGCCAGCCGCCGCGGUAA
This 501-nucleotide ribosomal RNA is filed under the name uncultured bacterium. Its description in RNAcentral is "partial 16S ribosomal RNA". It matches the Rfam family "Bacterial small subunit ribosomal RNA", at positions 30 to 523 of the family's 1533-position model. The record is from RNAcentral.